AAAACAAACCGCGCAUUGAGAGUCACUAUUUCUGUAAUCUAAAGUUUCUUAAGCGGAUGUUUAAUUUUAUUAAAAAGAAAUCUAGUUUCAUUUUGGAUGCGAUGUAACAUUGUUUGGGACCUCUGAAAUUCAACCUUGGCGCUCGACUACAAAAAUGGUGGAAUAUUAAUUGACAGAUUUAGAAUCUACUUGUUGAAAUCUAAUUUAAAGAAAAGUACCUAUAUAGCAAAUACAUUGGCGCCUGCCCAGAUGAUAAACGCACUGGACAAUGAUAGAAUUUCAUUACACAAACCUGAUUAAUAAACUGAUAACAUUAAUCAAUAUUCGGGGCUUAUUUGAGCCUUUUGGCAGUCAUUGAAGUGCCCUAUAAAGUUUAGCUUGGUUUUAUAUCCAUACUUUUCAAUGAUGAUUUUCUUUUGGAAUUUUGUAUUUUUGGUGGCAGUUGGAGAAAAAGACGCCGACCCUGAUGUUCCUAGCAUGUUUAGCACUCCUGUACUAUUUGAAAAAUCAGGAGCUGACGAUCUGGACAUUUCAAGAAACAUAUUCAACGCAUCUAUAAUGACUAUCGUCAUUUGCUUCAUAAUAAUAAUGACAUUUACUUUCAUUGUUAAAAUACAGUGAUGACGCAUAUCUAAUAAAUAAAACAAAACAUA
Trichoplusia ni (cabbage looper) is the source of this 653-nucleotide long non-coding RNA. RefSeq lists it as uncharacterized. NCBI's taxonomy places the organism in Eukaryota, Metazoa, Arthropoda, Insecta, Lepidoptera, Noctuidae. The record is from RefSeq and is a predicted model, not a curated record. The transcript has 2 exons.